RNAcentral lists this ribosomal RNA (460 nucleotides) under uncultured bacterium. Its description in RNAcentral is "partial 16S ribosomal RNA". It matches the Rfam family "Bacterial small subunit ribosomal RNA", at positions 338 to 795 of the family's 1533-position model. The record is from RNAcentral.
CCUACGGGUGGGCAGCAGUGAGGAAUAUUGGUCAAUGGGCGGAAGCCUGAACCAGCCAAGUAGCGUGCGGGAUGAAGGCCCUACGGGUCGUAAACCGCUUUUGCACGGGGAUAACACCCUCCACUUGUGGAGGUCUGCAGGCACCGUGCGAAUAAGGGCCGGCUAAUUUCGUGCCAGCAGCCGCGGUAAUCCGGAAGGCCCGAUGGUUAUCCGGAUUCAUUGGGCUUAAAGGGCGCGUAGGCGGGCGUUAAAGUCAGCUGUAAAACCGCGUGGCUCAACCGCGCCCCGAAGUUGAAACUGGACGCCUUGAGUACACAACAGGCAGGCGGAAUUCGUGGUGUAGCGGUGAAAUGCAUAGAUAUCACGAGGAACCCCGAUUGCGAAGGCAGCCUGCCGGGGUGCGACUGACGCUGAGGCUCGAAGGUGCGGGUAUCAAACAGGAUUAGAUACCCGUGUAGUC